GAGGAAGUAAAAGUCGUAACAAGGUUUCCGUAGGUGAACCUGCGGAAGGAUCAUUAUCCAUCUCAAACCAGGUGCGGUCGCGGCCCCCGGGGGCUUGCUCCCGGGUGGUAGGGGUAACACCCUCACGCGCCGCCUGCCUGUACCCUCUUUUUACGAGCACCUUUCGUUCUCCUUCGGCGGGGCAACCUGCCGCUGGAACCAAAACAAAACCUUUUUUGCAUCUAGCAUUACCUGUUCUGAUACAAAUAAUCGUUACAACUUUCAACAAUGGAUCUCUUGGCUCUGGCAUCGAUGAAGAACGCAGCGAAAUGCGAUAAGUAGUGUGAAUUGCAGAAUUCAGUGAAUCAUCGAAUCUUUGAACGCACAUUGCGCCCCUUGGUAUUCCAUGGGGCAUGCCUGUUCGAGCGUCAUCUACACCCUCAAGCUCUGCUUGGUGUUGGGCGUCUGUCCCGCCUCUGCGCGCGGACUCGCCCCAAAUUCAUUGGCAGCGGUCUUUGCCUCCUCUCGCGCAGCACAAUUGCGUCUGCGGGGGGGCGUGGCCCGCGUCCACGAAGC
This 555-nucleotide unclassified non-coding RNA is filed under the name Paraphaeosphaeria neglecta. RNAcentral's name for it is "sequence contains 18S rRNA gene, ITS1, 5.8S rRNA gene, ITS2, 28S rRNA gene". The stretch from base 257 to 410 matches the Rfam family "5.8S ribosomal RNA". Lineage: Eukaryota; Fungi; Ascomycota; Dothideomycetes; Pleosporales; Didymosphaeriaceae. The record is from RNAcentral.